AUCUUGGGAUACUUCAGAGAACAAUUCUCAAACAACAACUUCAAACUGACAGACAGACUUCAAGGAACUAUGCAGGAUAGAUGGGUGGCCAAAUGACAAGCUUGGAAAGCUACAAGGGAGUGCUACCUGCUCCUCUCCGUCCAUUCUUUGCUCUCUACUCUGAACUCCAUGUCUUCCACCAAGGUUCACUUCACCACUGUGUCAUUAAAAUGUUCAGUACCAAUAUGCAGACUGUCCGCAAUGAUAGGUAUAAACUGUUCAAGAAGACACCCAUUUCUAGCAAAAUUUCUGACUCCUUUCAAAAUAAAAAUUGGCCCUCUUACAGUAAUUUCACACUGAUAUAUGGCAGGGAUUAAUCCAAAAUGCCUGCAUAUAUUCAGGAUAGCUUUCCUGAGUUGAUUGGCCUUUGACUGUGAAAUUUUAACUACAAAAAUCAAGUUUAUGAAUCAUAUUUGUAUGUACAAAGACAUUCACUGUCAACUGACCUGUGAAAACAUAAAUCAUAUUACCAGUAUGGGGAUUAUUAUUAUAAAAGAAAUCUUUAUGUAGAGAAGAAUUACUAAUGAGUCAAAGC
This 574-nucleotide long non-coding RNA is filed under the name Homo sapiens (human). RNAcentral's name for it is "long non-coding RNA NONHSAT216077". Lineage: Eukaryota; Metazoa; Chordata; Mammalia; Primates; Hominidae. The record is from RNAcentral.